AGUGAUGUAGCUGAGUGGUAGAGCACUUGCCUAGUAUGUGCAAGGCCCUAGGUUCAAUCCCUGGCGCCACAC
This is a non-coding RNA of Fukomys damarensis (Damara mole-rat), 72 nucleotides long. The record is from Rfam. Lineage: Eukaryota; Metazoa; Chordata; Mammalia; Rodentia; Bathyergidae.